This 91-nucleotide ribosomal RNA is filed under the name Enterococcus faecalis. Lineage: Bacteria; Bacillati; Bacillota; Bacilli; Lactobacillales; Enterococcaceae. The record is from RNAcentral.
CACCUGUUCCCAUGCCGAACACAGAAGUUAAGCUUCUUAGCGCCGAUUGUAGUGAAGGGUUUCCCUUUGUGAGAGUAGGACGUCGCCACGC